CCUUGUCUUUAGUUGCUACGCAAGAGCACUCUAGAGAGACUGCCGGUGACAAACCGGAGGAAGGUGGGGAUGACGUCAAGUCCUCAUGGCCCUUAUGGGUAGGGCUUCACACGUCAUACAAUGGUGCGUACAGAGGGUUGCCAACCCGCGAGGGGGAGCUAAUCCCAGAAAACGCAUCGUAGUCCGGAUCGUAGUCUGCAACUCGACUACGUGAAGCUGGAAUCGCUAGUAAUCGCGGAUCAGCAUGCCGCGGUGAAUACGUUCCCGGGUCUUGUACACACCGCCCGUCACACCAUGGGAGUGGGUUUUGCCAGAAGUAGUUAGCCUAACCGCAAGGAGGGCGAUUACCACGGCAGGGUUCAUGACUGGGGUGAAGUCGUAACAAGGUAGCCGUAUCGGA
This 400-nucleotide ribosomal RNA is filed under the name Ralstonia sp. 1101. RNAcentral's name for it is "bacterial SSU rRNA". It matches the Rfam family "Bacterial small subunit ribosomal RNA", at positions 1103 to 1509 of the family's 1533-position model. The record is from RNAcentral. Lineage: Bacteria; Pseudomonadati; Pseudomonadota; Betaproteobacteria; Burkholderiales; Burkholderiaceae.